This 242-nucleotide long non-coding RNA is filed under the name Homo sapiens (human). RNAcentral describes it as "HSALNT0128675". Lineage: Eukaryota; Metazoa; Chordata; Mammalia; Primates; Hominidae. The record is from RNAcentral.
GCGGAGAUCGCGUCUCUUUCGCUCCGUGUCCCGCUGCUGCUCCUGUGAGCGCCCGGCGAGUCCGUCCCGUCCACCGUCCGCAGCUGGUAGCCAGCCUGCCCCUCGCCUCGACUCCCUUUCACCAACACCGACACCCACAUUGACACCUCCAGUCCGGCCAGCCGCUCCACUCGUUGCCUUUGCAUCUCCACACAUGGCGUCCUCCGCGCAGAGCGGCGGCUCCUCCGGGGGACCCGCGGUCC